CUUUAUUAUGGAAGAUUGAAAACUCAACAAGUACAGAAAAGGAAAAGGCCUUGUCUUUUAUUUUGUUGGUUUCUUAUAUGGAAGGAUUCAUCUUGGUGUUUUGCUAGAAAUCAUUGUAUUAUUUUUUUAAUUGGCGCAUAUUUCACACAUAUAAAAUGGAGGGUGCAAGGAAGAGAAAGCUAGCUAUCUGCUCCAGAAAAUGGGGAACUGGAAGGGUUGGAGGUACUUCAAGAGGAUGUCUAUCUACCCAAUUAAGAGUAUCCUUCUUAAAGUGACUUCAAACUUCAUGUUCAAAUCUAAAGGAAACAGAAAUGGACUUCUGAAUCUUUAUAAAGAUAUGGAGUCUUAUGGAGAAUACUCAGAUAUCCAAGUUAUGUGGAAGAUGAUCGAGUCUUCCUCUCCUCAAAACACAUCUAACAAGAAAAGGAUCAACAUGUCUUCAUACUGGGUCAUGUGUUUUAGGCCAACUUGAAAUAAUGUUGUGUGGUUAUUUAAAUGGUGAUGAAUUUUUCUUGAUGGAUGGAUGAGUCCAAAGGUUUAUUGAAAGCAUCAUAGGUUGAUGUAUGAGAAAGGGGAAUCACAUUUUCUUCGAGUUUCCAAGGGAAGUGAAAGUGAAUAAUCAGACUUUGAAUUAUUCAGUA
Vigna radiata var. radiata (mung bean) is the source of this 641-nucleotide long non-coding RNA. RefSeq lists it as uncharacterized. The transcript has 2 exons. NCBI's taxonomy places the organism in Eukaryota, Viridiplantae, Streptophyta, Magnoliopsida, Fabales, Fabaceae. The record is from RefSeq and is a predicted model, not a curated record.